Molecule: microRNA precursor, 89 nt
Organism: Otolemur garnettii (small-eared galago)
Lineage: Eukaryota; Metazoa; Chordata; Mammalia; Primates; Galagidae
Gene: MIR363
Product: microRNA 363
Source: Ensembl
GUUUUGCUGUUGUCGGGUGGAUCACGAUGCAAUUUUGAUUAGCAUAAUAGGAGAAAAAUUGCACGGUAUCCAUCUGUAAACCGCAGGAC